UACGUAGGCAGCGAGCGUUGUUCGGAGUUACUGGGCGUAAAGGGUGUGUAGGCGGUUGCUUAAGUUUGGUGUGAAAUACUCCCCGGCUGCAACUCGGGAGGGUGCGCCGAAUACUGAGUGACUCGAGUGCGGGAGAGGGAGAGUGGAAUUCCUGGUGUAGCGGUGAAAUGCGUAGAUAUCGAGAGGAACACCGGUGGCGAAGGCGGCGAUCUGGGCCUUACCUGACGCUCAGGUGCGAAAGCUAGGGGAGCGAACAGG
Molecule: ribosomal RNA, 258 nt
Filed under: uncultured bacterium
Lineage: Bacteria
Description: partial 16S ribosomal RNA
Rfam family: Bacterial small subunit ribosomal RNA
Source: RNAcentral